Molecule: long non-coding RNA, 271 nt
Filed under: Ananas comosus (pineapple)
Lineage: Eukaryota; Viridiplantae; Streptophyta; Magnoliopsida; Poales; Bromeliaceae
Description: long non-coding RNA (ACOM_LNC031743)
Source: RNAcentral
UUUUUUUUUUUUUUUUAGAGAUAGAUAGCACGCUACCCGUUUCAUUUAUUUCAUUUAGAAAUAAACUUAGCUGAAAAUGUGAAUCAACUAGGAUUCGAACUUGGGUCUCGGGUACCAAUCAUCAAACCCUUUGCUAUUUGCUCUAGGGACAGUCGGUGACACUUAGAAAUUGUGUGCAUGCCGUCCUCGUAUUGUUUUGUAUCGUAGCGUGCCCUGUAUACUUGAUAAGAAGUCAAAGGCUUUGAAAGUAUAGUUGUUUUAAAAAAAGUUC